This 744-nucleotide ribosomal RNA is filed under the name uncultured fungus. RNAcentral describes it as "eukaryotic LSU rRNA". It matches the Rfam family "Eukaryotic large subunit ribosomal RNA", at positions 38 to 633 of the family's 3401-position model. The record is from RNAcentral. Lineage: Eukaryota; Fungi.
GCAUAUCAAUAAGCGGAGGAAAAGAAAAUAACAAUGAUUCCCUCAGUAACGGCGAGCGAAGAGGGAUAAGCUCAAAUUUUAAAUCUGUUAGGUUCUACUUAACCGAGUUGUAAUUUGAAGAAGCGUUUUCUGCGUAUUUGAUCAGCCCAAGUCCUAUUGAAUGAGGCAUCAUGGAGGGUGAUAAUCCCGUCCGGUUGAUCAUUGCGUUUUAUGAUACGUUUUCUAAGAGUCAAGUUGUUUGGGAUUGCAGCUUAAAAUGGGAGGUAAAUUUCUCCUAAGGCUAAAUAACGGCGAGAGACCGAUAGCGAACAAGUACCGUGAGGGAAAGAUGAAAAGCACUUUGAAAAGAGAGUUAAAUAGUACGUGAAAUUGUUGAAAGGGAAACGAUUGAAGCCAGUCGUACCGACGGAGAAUCAACCUUUGGAAUGCGAAUCGAGGUAUUCGAAGAGUUUAAAAGCCUUAGUGUGCUUUCGCAUUCGUGCUUCAUGGGUGCACUUCUUCGUAUGGUAGGUUAACAUCAAUUUUGGACGUUACAAAAUGAUCGGGGGAAUGUAGCUUCGAUUUUUCGAAGUGUUAUAGCCCUUGGUAGAUGUGACGACCGGGAUUGAGGAUUGCAACGAAUGCUUUCGGGCUAUCCGUCUGACCUCUGGUGGUCGCUCUGGGGUCGAAAGCGUGCUUACGACUUCAGAGUUUGGCUAUCAAAAGGCUAGAACGUGAUUAAAAUUCGUUAAGGAUGUUGACGUA